UGCCCUGUGACAAUGUUUAACGGCCGCGGUAUUUUGACCGUGCGAAGGUAGCGUAAUCACUUGUCUUUUAAAUGAAGACCUGUAUGAAAGGCAUCACGAGAGUUUAACUGUCUCUAUUUUCUAAUCAAUGAAAUUGAUCUUCCCGUGCAGAAGCGGGAAUAUUAUCAUUAGACGAGAAGACCCUAUGGAGCUUCAAACACUUAAGCUAAUUUAUGUAAAAUAUUAAUUCCCAUGGGUAUAAACAUUUAUACUAUAUUUCUAACUUAACUGUUUUCGGUUGGGGUGACCAAGGAGGAAAAAAAAGCCUCCUUAUCGACUGAGUAUUUAAUACUUAAAAAAUAGAAUAACAAUUCUAAUUAAUAAAACAUUUAUCGAAAAAUGACCCAGAAUAUAUCUGAUCAAUGAACCAAGUUACCCUAGGGAUAACAGCGCAAUCCUUUCCCAGAGUCCCUAUCGCCGAAAGGGUUUACGACCUCGAUGUUGGAUCAGGACAUCCUAAUGGUGCAACCGCUAUUAAGGGUUCGUUUGUUCAACGAUUAAUAGUCCUACGUGAUCUG
Molecule: ribosomal RNA, 557 nt
Filed under: Heptranchias perlo (sharpnose sevengill shark)
Lineage: Eukaryota; Metazoa; Chordata; Chondrichthyes; Hexanchiformes; Hexanchidae
Description: partial 16S ribosomal RNA
Rfam family: Bacterial large subunit ribosomal RNA
Source: RNAcentral